CUAGCAAGACUGUUCUAUUUUAUUGUUAUUUUAUUUCUUUUACAGUCUUAAUUUACUCAUGUUUGUAUAUGACUGGGCUCUCAUAUACCACUAGUUUUUGUUUCUUUCAGAUUCAUAUGCUUUGUUUCUGAAACAUUCAUUGCCAAAUUAUUUCACAUGCAGUGCUAUUUACUUCAGUUCAUUAUAACAUCAUGAUAAGACAUUGCUGUUCAUUCAUAGUUCAUCUUCAUGGGCAAAUUGCACUGAAAUGUUGCAUUGGAUGGGAGGUUCCAGGUAGUACAUAUUCAUGAUUUAAGAUGCUGUGUUAUUUACUUAAAAUUAUUGUUUCAUUGUGAUAGGAAGUUGUCGUUCAUUCACAGCUUAUCUUUAUGGACAAAUUGCACAAAAAUGUCAGUGUUGUAUCCGUGAUGGUGUCUUAACUUGUUUACAGACUCUUGUAAAAAUAUUUUAGCCUAAAAUCAUUCUUUUUUGCUAGCUUUGGGGUGCAGGGGAUGAAAUGACCCAUAUCUUUUGGAAAUCAAUUAAAAAAAGCAAGUGAUGAGCUUUUAGCCUUUUUAUUUCAAUUUUGUGUGCUGUACUAUUUUUCUAUCAAUUUCCGCUGGAAUGCCAUGCAAUUUUUUUUUUUUGUUAUAAAAAUCACUGUACAGCCAAUUUAAUUGGUUGUUGCUUUUUGAAAUUGCUUGUUGCUUCUCAUUUAC
Molecule: long non-coding RNA, 698 nt
Filed under: Phoenix dactylifera (date palm)
Lineage: Eukaryota; Viridiplantae; Streptophyta; Magnoliopsida; Arecales; Arecaceae
Description: long non-coding RNA (PDAC_LNC018850)
Source: RNAcentral